RNAcentral lists this long non-coding RNA (1723 nucleotides) under Homo sapiens (human). Its description in RNAcentral is "HSALNT0355364". The record is from RNAcentral. Lineage: Eukaryota; Metazoa; Chordata; Mammalia; Primates; Hominidae.
AGAAUCUUGCAGCCUCCAGCGACAUGACACCUAACCGUAAUUUCUAAUCUUGUGGCUAAUUUGUUAGUCCUACAAAGGCAGUCUAGUCCCCAGGCAAGAAGGGGUUUUGUUUUGGGAAAGGGCUGUUAUUCUCUUUGUAUCAAACUAUAAACUAUUAAUAUAAACUAAAUUCCUCCCAAGGGGAGUUCAGCCUACACCCAGGAAUGCACAAGGACAGCUUGGAGCUUAGAAGCAAGUGGAGUUGGUUCAUCUCUUUCACUGGCUCAUAAUUUUGCAACGGCGGUUUCAUCUCUACCCUGACAAUACCUUUUAGUUUUCUUACCCACUGGGGUCGAGACUUAAUUGAAGACCUCAGACGGACAGCAUAACACGGAACCUGAGACCUUGAUUUGCGGGGACAGGCUUAAAGUGUAUUCUGGAGUUGGUGCCCCCACCCCAGGGGCCGGCUCAGAGGGUUCACUUUCCAGCCUAACGGCAGGGGAACCAGAGGCUGCCGACCUGGAUCUCACCUUGAUGGAGGUCUUGUCACCUUCCUCCUUGGCUGGAGAGACAGACUGUGGAUGCUCUCCUGCUGGCCACCCAAAAACAACAAACAGACAAACAAAUAUGAAUGAGGAAAACUUGAAGAGGCCCCACGUGCCAGAGGUGGGACAGCUUGAGAUUUGGUGAGGAUAAUUGCAGUGGCUCAAAACCCAUAAAGAAGUUUAAGUCCAUGAGUUCACCGUAAUCUGAAACAAAAACAAAAACAAAAACAAAUUGAUCAUCUUUGGAGGCUAACAAUCAAUUCAUUAUCUAGAGACAGACAGAGGCUCACUAGUGGCACGAUCUUGGCUGAUUGCAUCUUCCACCUCCUGGGUUCAAGAGAUUCUUGUGCCUUAGCUUCCUGAGUAGCUAAGAUUACAGAUCACAAGCAAUCAGGCUGAUCCCGCCUGAGCCCUGAGCUCCCUGGGACCCAGCAGCAGCUGUGCAUUGGCACGUGGUGCCCUGUGUCUGAUCAGCUGACUCCUCAGGCAAAACCUGCACCAUUUUCACCAGAAUUGCAGAUGUCCUCAGUGUCAUUACAAAGUUCCUAAGUCAUGACCAUUCUGUCCUGUGGAACCAGGCUGGACUAAGCUCCCAUUUCUUUAAGCCAUCCUGUCCCCUGCAGGGACUUCCAAGGUGGAGCUGAUGAGCAAUAGUUAUGAGUCAUUGGAGGAGACAUCCCAGAGGCGCCAGCUCCCCUCUGCCCUAAACUGAAAUUAAGACCUGGUGCUCUGGGUGGGGCCCCUGGAAGGGGAUGUGCAACUCAGAGGGGACCUUCUCCACCUCCACCCAGGAGACCCCAGAGGGACCAUGGCAGAGCCGGAGCCCUCUUUUUUUUUGUUCGUUUUUUAUUUUAUUAUUAUUAUACUUUAAGUUUUAGCCCUCUUUUAAAAACCAAAUGAAAAUAAGCAAAAGAAGCCAAUCGUCUCUGUGAAAUGUCCAGAAGAGGGAACUCUGUAGAGACAGAGAGGAUAUUAUUGGCUGCCGGAGGCUGGGAAUGGGAAGGUGAGGGGCCUGGGGAGGUGAUGGUUAAAAGAUUCUUCUUUGUGGUGAUGAAAUUGUCUUAAAAUGGACUGUGGUGAUAGUUGUGCAACUUGGUGAAUAUAUAAGUUAUUGAAUUGUACACUUUAAAUGGGUGAAUUGUAUGGUGUGUGAAACAUAUCUCAAUAAAGCUGUUAUUUGAAAAAUAAAUAAGUAAAUA